Molecule: ribosomal RNA, 468 nt
Filed under: uncultured bacterium
Lineage: Bacteria
Description: partial 16S ribosomal RNA
Rfam family: Bacterial small subunit ribosomal RNA
Source: RNAcentral
GACGAACGCUGGCGGCGUGCUUAACACAUGCAAGUCGAACGGAAAGGCCCUGCUUUUGUGGGGUGCUCGAGUGGCGAACGGGUGAGUAACACGUGAGUAACCUGCCCUUGACUUUGGGAUAACUUCAGGAAACUGGGGCUAAUACCGGAUAGGAGCUCCUGCUGCAUGGUGGGGGUUGGAAAGUUUCGGCGGUUGGGGAUGGACUCGCGGCUUAUCAGCUUGUUGGUGGGGUAGUGGCUUACCAAGGCGUUGACGGGUAGCCGGCCUGAGAGGGUGACCGGCCACAUUGGGACUGAGAUACGGCCCAGACUCCUACGGGAGGCAGCAGUGGGGAAUAUUGCACAAUGGGCGGAAGCCUGAUGCAGCAACGCCGCGUGCGGGAUGACGGCCUUCAGGUUGUAAACCGCUUUCGCCUGUGACGAAGCGUGAGUGACGGUAAUGGGUAAAGAAGCACCGGCUAACUACGUG